GACGAACGCUGGCGGCGUGCCUAAUACAUGCAAGUCGAACGCUUCUUUUUCACCGAACUUCGGUUCAUCGAAAAAGAGGAGUGGCGAACGGGUGAGUAACACGUGGGUAACCUGCCCAUCAGAAGGGGAUAACACUUGGAAACAGGUGCUAAUACCGUAUAAUGCUUUUUCUCGCAUGAGAGCAAGCUGAAAGGCGCUUUUGCGUCACUGAUGGAUGGACCCGCGGUGCAUUAGCUAGUUGGUGAGGUAACGGCUCACCAAGGCCACGAUGCAUAGCCGACCUGAGAGGGUGAUCGGCCACACUGGGACUGAGACACGGCCCAGACUCCCACGGGAGGCAGCAGUAGGGAAUCUUCGGCAAUGGACGAAAGUCUGACCGAGCAACGCCGCGUGAGUGAAGAAGGUUUUCGGAUCGUAAAACUCUGUUGUUAGAGAAGAACAAGGAUGAGAGUAAAAUGUUCAUCCCUUGACGGUAUCUAACCA
This 483-nucleotide ribosomal RNA is filed under the name Enterococcus sp. oral taxon A43. RNAcentral describes it as "bacterial SSU rRNA". It matches the Rfam family "Bacterial small subunit ribosomal RNA", at positions 28 to 485 of the family's 1533-position model. The record is from RNAcentral. Lineage: Bacteria; Bacillati; Bacillota; Bacilli; Lactobacillales; Enterococcaceae.